UUAAAAUUAGUUAAUAAUCAUAACACAGCUUUGUCAGGGCUGAAUAAUCAUAUAAGUGAUAUUUUAAA
This 68-nucleotide transfer RNA is filed under the name Alpheus lobidens. RNAcentral's name for it is "tRNA-Asp". Lineage: Eukaryota; Metazoa; Arthropoda; Malacostraca; Decapoda; Alpheidae. The record is from RNAcentral.